GUCGGACGCAGUGGCGUGUGCCUAUAGUCCCAGCUACUCUGGAGGCUGAGGUGGGAGGAUCACUUGAGCCCAGGAGUUCUGGGCCGUAAUGCGCUAUGCCAAUCGGGUGUCCGCACUAAGUUCAGCAUCAAUAUGGCAACCUCCCAGGAGCAGGGGACCACCAGGUUGCCUAAGGAAGGGUGAACCGGCCCAGGUCAGAAAUGGAGCAGGUCAAAACUCCUGUGCUGAUCAGUAGUGGGAUAGCGCCUGUGAAUAGCCACUGCACUUCAGCCUGGGCAACAUAGCAAGACCCCGUCUCUA
This is a non-coding RNA of Callithrix jacchus (white-tufted-ear marmoset), 300 nucleotides long. The record is from Rfam. Lineage: Eukaryota; Metazoa; Chordata; Mammalia; Primates; Cebidae.